This 258-nucleotide ribosomal RNA is filed under the name uncultured bacterium. RNAcentral's name for it is "partial 16S ribosomal RNA". It matches the Rfam family "Bacterial small subunit ribosomal RNA", at positions 96 to 354 of the family's 1533-position model. The record is from RNAcentral.
UGGCGGACGGGUGAGUAACGCGUGGGUAACCUGCCUCAUACAGGGGGAUAACAGUUAGAAAUGACUGCUAAUACCGCAUAAGCGCACGGGACUGCAUGGUCUUGUGUGAAAAACUCCGGUGGUAUGAGAUGGACCCGCGUCUGAUUAGCUUGUUGGUGAGGUAACGGCCCACCAAGGCGACGAUCAGUAGCCGGCCUGAGAGGGUGAACGGCCACAUUGGGACUGAGACACGGCCCAAACUCCUACGGAAGGCAGCAG